CUGCGCUAGGUGGGGAGCCGGCGGUGCCCUGUACUUGCAAUCCGCCGUAGCAAGGCUGAAGGUUCUCCGAGGCUCGCCGUAUGGUUGGCUGCGCGCGGUAAGGCGUGAUGAUAUCAAGGUCUUAUGCAACGUGAACCCGCGAACCGUGUCAGGAUAGGGAUAUAGCAGCACUAAACGGUUAUUUGCGUGUGCCAUAAGGUUGCUUUGAAGGAGCGACCUGCCCCGUUACCGCUUCGGUACGACGUGUCGACGAGAAAUGCGCAG
This is a non-coding RNA of Acidiphilium sp. CAG:727, 264 nucleotides long. The record is from Rfam. Lineage: Bacteria; Pseudomonadati; Pseudomonadota; Alphaproteobacteria; Acetobacterales; Acidocellaceae.